UCCUGUGUGGCUCAGUUGGUAGAGCAUGGUGUUUGCAACGCCAGCAUUGUGGGUUUGAUUCCCACGGGGGGAC
This 73-nucleotide transfer RNA is filed under the name Salmo salar (Atlantic salmon). It matches the Rfam family "tRNA". From Rfam's summary of the family: Transfer RNA (tRNA) molecules are approximately 80 nucleotides in length. Their secondary structure includes four short double-helical elements and three loops (D, anti-codon, and T loops). Lineage: Eukaryota; Metazoa; Chordata; Actinopteri; Salmoniformes; Salmonidae. The record is from Rfam by way of RNAcentral.